AUAUAUAUAUAUAUAUAUAUAUAUAUAUAGAUAGAGAGAGAGAGAGAGAAAGAGAGAGUGAGGCUACUAUGCUAUCGGAAGUACGGAGCAUUCCGUGCUUCCAGCUCGUUUUCGAUGUUGCGACUUUCGAAUCGUCGAUCGGCNNNNNNNNNNNNNNNNNNNNNNNNNAAUUAUUUUUUAAAUUAAAAUAUCAAAUUUUAAAUUUUGUACAAUUUUGAAAUUUAAAAAUUUUAAUUUUAAUUCAAAUUUAAAUUUAGAUUUUAAAUUAUUUUAAAAUUAAAUUUAAUAAAAAUAUUAAUUUAUACAGACAUCAAAAAAAUUUUGCCAAACAGUUUUUUAAAAUCACUUCAGAAAAAUCACUUUUAUCUAAACUCAGCUAAACGCUCUACAGCUUUUAACCAAAAUCAUUUCUCCUAACUAAAAUCACUUUUUUAGAAAUCAUUUUUUCAGAAGCCAGGCCAAACGGCCCUAACUCCUAAUGGAGGUGGCGAGCAUAACCGAGUUAUCUUCCAAUCUCUUUCACACACACACACACACUUAAAACAUGAUCUCCGUGCUUUCAUAAGCAUACCAGCACAACUCUUAAAUUAAAGGCUCCUAACUUCAAUUAAUA
Molecule: long non-coding RNA, 613 nt
Filed under: Ananas comosus (pineapple)
Lineage: Eukaryota; Viridiplantae; Streptophyta; Magnoliopsida; Poales; Bromeliaceae
Description: long non-coding RNA (ACOM_LNC017535)
Source: RNAcentral